AAAUCCCGGUUUGGUUGCGUCCCUUCCUCAGGAAAGGGGACAGGAUUGCCCAAAGCGGUUUGAGUGAGGACUGUAGGUGCUCUCUCAGUGGACCUGUCUGCGGGACCAGGUGCCCUGUGCAGGUUUGUGUCUUGUUUCCCUCUGAUGCCGGUGCAGCACUGUGGCACACCGCCGCCGAGGAGAGAAGGAAAGGUUACCGUGUAGCGGUGCGAGCGGUGAAUGUUGCUACAUAGCGGCUGGCUUUUUGUGCGUUGUAGUGUCACAGGCCUGUUCAGAAACCCAGCCUCAUCCCGCGACUGAUGGACGUCCUCAGCUUCGCGUGCGCCGUCCUUCUGUGCACCGCUGUGGCGCACGGUAAGCCGACGUUGAGGAAGGAGAGGGUCCACCACGACAUAGACCUGAGCAGGCGAACGCACGAAGACAAUAAAAGCUUCCAGUACGACCAUGAGGCCUUUCUUGGCAAAGAGGAGGCCAAAACAUUCGAUCAGCUCACCCCCGAGGAGAGCAAGGACAGGCUUGGUAAAAUCGUGGACCGCAUAGACAGCGAUGCUGAUGGCUACAUCACCACAGCCGAACUCAAGGCUUGGAUAAAGCGCGUGCAGAAGCGUUAUGUGUACGAGAACGUGGCAAAGGUUUGGGCAGAUUAUGACCUGAACAAAGACAACAAGAUUUCAUGGGACGAGUACAAGCAAGCCACAUACGGAUACUACCUCGCCAAUCCGGAGGAGUUUGAGGAUGCCACGGACCAGUUCAGCUUCAAGAAGAUGCUGCCUCGAGACGAGCGAAGGUUCAAAGCAGCUGAUCUGAACGGGGACCUGGCAGCAGACAGAGAAGAGUUCACAGCCUUCCUCCACCCCGAGGAGUUCGAACACAUGAAGGAUAUCGUGGUUCAGGAAACCCUGGAGGACAUUGACAAGAACGGCGACGGACAUGUGGAUGAGGAUGAGUACAUCGCGGACAUGUUUGCUCAUGAGGACGGGGGUCCAGAGCCAGACUGGGUCAAGACUGAGAGGGAACAGUUCUCUGACUUCCGGGACUUGAACAAGGAUGGUAAAAUGGACCGGGACGAGAUCCGCCAUUGGAUUAUGCCCCAAGACUAUGACCAUGCCCAGGCUGAGGCCAGACAUCUGGUUUAUGAGUCUGACCAGGACAAGGAUCAAAUGCUGACCAAAGAAGAGAUACUUGAGAACUGGAACAUGUUCGUUGGAAGUCAGGCCACCAACUACGGAGAGGACCUCACCAGGAACCAUGAUGAGCUCUGAGCUCUCAGUGUGCUUGUGUGUGUGUGUGUAUGUCUGUCUGUGUGUUUGUGUGUGUGUGUGUGUGUGAGGAGGGUUGCUGAACAUCUUUGUCUUCAAAGACAGAAUCCCAGACUCUUAUGCCUCCUCCUACCACCGCUACCACCACUCCAUUCUUUCCUCAUCAUGGUGGGACAGAUGUCAGGGUGUUGGACUUUAAAACCAACCCUCUGUAGAUAUCACACGGGAGGAGGAAUGAAGGUCGGUCCUGCCACUAACACUAAGAGUCCAUCUCGGUGUUUAUGUCGACGGGUCUGUUUUCUGACAUUCAGGAGCAAAGCCAGACUCCGUGGACUUACUUUCCAUCGAUGGUGCCUUCUCGCCGUAUCGUCGGCUUCGCUGCCUCAGAGAUCUGUGUAGAUAGUCUUUAAUACAAUCUGUCAAAGCUGAAUGCUGAGCUUUACAGAAAUUGUCAGAUACAGGAACAGUUUUUGAUAGCAAUGUUAAUGUGAAACAACAGCUCAGAACAUUUAUGCUAAUUUUAUUUAUUUAUCAAAUAACUUCUGAAUUUUAGGUCUGAGAGGACUACAGUGUUCAAAUAGUUUUUUUUUUUUUUUUUUUUUGUUUUUUUAACAGAAGACACAUUAUGUUUCUUUGUUUACAGUUUUUUCUGGCCAAAUUAUUAUAUAUAUUUUUUGUUUGUUUGUUUGUUUUGAUUAGUUAAAUGCCACAAAGCUGACUAAUGUUUAACGGCAUGGUUUUGCACGUGUUUGGUUUUAGUUUAGCCUGUGAAAGAUUUUUUUUCUUCGUACUUAGUUCAAAAUGUAUUUAUUGGUAUACUUAAGGCCAACAGUAUGCUCCAUGUUAAAUUUUUAUUGACUUUCGCCGAUGUUACAUUUGUGCUUUUACCUUUUUACAACUGUCCAAUUUAAGAGGAGGGAAGAAAAGUUUCCUUUCCACCCGUCUCAUGACUCCAUUCUUCCUGUUACAUCACUCCAAGGUCAUCUACUGUAUCAGAUGAACCCAAUGUUUUUUCCGCUGAAUUUGACAUUGCGUAUAUAUAUCAAACUGGUGUUUUUGAACAUCAGAUAUUCAUCUUUUGUCAUUUUUAUCACAUAUUUUGUAUAGUGUGAUGGAUAUGACGGGUGCAUAGAACAAUGUAAGGGUCUUGUAAUUUUCGUCCAAUUAAUGUCACUCAAAACCUUUCUUUCUCCUUCUCAUCUUUUUCUGUGAGUGCUUUGUUGUCCCAAACCUCAGUUGCAUUAAUAGUCCACAUCACACAGGGGCCCAAAUGCAUCAACAUGUCUCAUUUUCGACACUGCCCAUGUUCACAAAUU
RNA transcript from Xiphias gladius (swordfish), 2575 nucleotides. It is a transcript of the gene named reticulocalbin 1, EF-hand calcium binding domain, with no coding region annotated. The transcript is spliced from 7 exons. NCBI's taxonomy places the organism in Eukaryota, Metazoa, Chordata, Actinopteri, Istiophoriformes, Xiphiidae. The record is from RefSeq and is a predicted model, not a curated record.